Long non-coding RNA from Arabidopsis thaliana (thale cress), 356 nucleotides. RefSeq annotates it as other RNA. The record is from RefSeq. Lineage: Eukaryota; Viridiplantae; Streptophyta; Magnoliopsida; Brassicales; Brassicaceae. The transcript has a single exon.
GACAAAAGAUUUUAUCGUUUGUGUUUAUUAUAUCUUCGUGAAGAUGUGCCGCACGGAAAAGAAAUAAACCCUAAUAGCCUAUGAAUGAUGCGAGAGAGUAUGAAAGGGAAAGAUUGAUCGUGAAAGGGAAGAUGAAAGGAGAGAAGAAGAACCCGGAGAUGGAGGCCGAAACGUCGCUGACUCGCUGAGAAGAAGAGAUCAUCACCACCGUGAAGGUGAAGUAUUGAGAGAGGGAGAUCUGGUUUACGACACUAAGGAGAGGUAGAGAUGACGAAGAAGAAAACGCAGCCAAGAUAAAGUGAACAGGAGAGAGGUCAUCGGAACCUCACCGAAGUACCACCACAGCCACCGGAGGU